UACGGAGGGUGCAAGCGUUAUCCGGAUUUACUGGGUUUAAAGGGUGUGUAGGCGGGCUAUUAAGUCAGUGGUGAAAUCUCCGGGCUCAACCUGGAAACUGCCAUUGAUACUAUUAGUCUUGAAUUUUGUUGAGGUAGGCGGAAUAGGUCAUGUAGCGGUGAAAUGCAUAGAUAUGACUUAGAACACCAAUUGCGAAGGCAGCUUGCUAAACAAAUAUUGACGCUGAGGCACGGAAGCGUGGGGAUCAAACAGG
Molecule: ribosomal RNA, 253 nt
Filed under: uncultured bacterium
Lineage: Bacteria
Description: partial 16S ribosomal RNA
Rfam family: Bacterial small subunit ribosomal RNA
Source: RNAcentral